This 451-nucleotide ribosomal RNA is filed under the name uncultured bacterium. RNAcentral describes it as "partial 16S ribosomal RNA". It matches the Rfam family "Bacterial small subunit ribosomal RNA", at positions 28 to 507 of the family's 1533-position model. The record is from RNAcentral.
GAUGAAUGCUGGCGGCGUGCCUAACACAUGCAAGUCGAGCGGCAGCGAGGGGUGCUUGCACCCUGUCGGCGAGCGGCGAACGGCCGAGUAACGCGUAGGAAUUUGCCCCAAAGUGAGGAAUAACUGCCCGAAAGGGUAGCUAAUGCCGCAUAUGGUCUUCGGAUUAAAGGAUUUAUCCGCUUUGGGAGAAGCCUGCGUUGGAUUAGGUUGUUGGUAGGGUAAUGGCCUACCAAGCCGACGAUCCAUAGCUGGUCUGAGAGGAUGAUCAGCCAGACUGGAACUGAGACACGGUCCAGACUCCUACGGGAGGCAGCAGUGAGGAAUCUUCCACAAUGGGCGAAAGCCUGAUGGAGCAACGCCGCGUGAAGGAUGAAGGCCUUCGGGUUGUAAACUUCUUUUAUGAGUGAAGAAUAUGACGGUAACUCGUGAAUAAGCACCGGCUAACUACGUG